Molecule: long non-coding RNA, 3024 nt
Filed under: Piliocolobus tephrosceles (Ugandan red Colobus)
Lineage: Eukaryota; Metazoa; Chordata; Mammalia; Primates; Cercopithecidae
Description: lncRNA (ENSPTEG00000005131.1)
Source: RNAcentral
UGUAUAGGAUAUAUAUCCCUUGUAUACUAUAGAUAUAUAUGUAUUAUAUGAACAUGUUUGUUCAACUAUAUUUUGUAAUGCUUUUAUAACAACUCACUAUGAUUCUUUUAUAUAUAUUGUACUAAUAUAUAUAUUUUUGUCUUCUAUAAAUUUCAAGUGAAUCCUUUAACAUCUUUGUUUUGUUUUUUCUCUUUUUACAUUUUUAACAUUACCUUUUAAUAUUGAUUACAAUAAAAUUUUUAUUUUCAUGUUUUGUUGCAUUCAUAUAUUACAUUGCUAUUGUUACUAUUAUUAUUAUCACUAUUAUUAACACUAUUAUUAUUAUCACUAUUAUUACAAUUAUUAUUAUUAUGUAGAGUUUUUAAAAUUUUGCCUUUUUUUUUUUUUUUUUUUUUUUUGCAUUUUAAAGCUGUUCAAGUAGAUUAGCCUAUCAUUUUUUGAUUAGAGACAAAUGCAGUAUUAAAAGGGAAACAAAACAAAACAAAACAAAUAAACAAAUAAACAAAUAAACAAACAAAUAAACAAAUAAACAAAUAAACAAACAAACAAAUAAACAAACAAACAAAACAAACGGAAUAUACAUAAUAAUGCGGAAUAUAAUCAACAGUAAAAAUGUCUGACUCUGCGUAUGGAUUUAUGGAAAAUGUAGUACACAUAACAGGGUAUCUACAUCGUUUGUUAUUUCUUAUGAUAGAACUUGAUAAAAAAGGACAUAAUAUGAAUAAGACUAUACAAAAAAAAGAAGAAAUUUAUAUUGAUAAUUUAAAUUGUAUUCGUAAAGGAAAAACUUCAAAAUAUCAUAAACGUAGUUAUGAUAAAAAAAGAAACGAAUCAAAACUUCACAAAAGGAGUUCAAAUAAGUACAAUGAAGGAAAUAAUAAUUACAACAACGGGUCAAACGAAUAUAAUAAUAUAAAUACUAAAAAUAAUGAUAUAAAUAAUUUUGAAAAAAAUAAUAUAACAAACAAAUUAAUGUAUAAUGAAGGUUUAUUUGAAAAUACACCAACUUUAAAAAUACGUGUACGUUCUAGUAAAGAUAUGGUAGAUAAUAAUAUUAUUAUGGCUAAUAAUGAAAACACAAAAUACGAAAAUUUAAUGACACCAUAUAUAAAUAAUAAUAACAAUAACAAUAAUAAUAAUAAUAAUAAUAAUAUAUCAGAAGAAAAUGCAAAUAAUAUCAACCUAAAUGAUAACAAUAAAAUUAAUAUUACAAAACCGAAUACCAACAUAUACGGUGAAUGUAGUAAUGAAUUUUAUUAUAUAGAAAAUAAAAAAACCGAAUGUGAAUUUAUCAACAAUGACAACAAUAAUAACAACAACAAUGACAACAAUAAUAACANNNNNNNNNNCAAUGACAACAAUAAUAACAACAACAAUGACAACAAUAAUAACAACAGUAAUAACAAUGUUAGUAAUCCGAAUAAACAAAAUAAUGCGAACUUAAAAGAUUUUAAUCUUAUUUCUACUCAAAAUGAGAAAAUCGAAAAAAGGGAAUUGAUAAACAACAGUACUAUAAUUACUGGUGAUAUUUCUAACAUGACUUUAAACCAAAAUAGUAAUACAACAAAACAAGAACAAAUAAAUAUAGAUGAAAAUAAUAUAAAAAAUAGUAUAGAAAAUAAGAUUAUUUCAUUAUUAACAGAAAAAAAUUUGGAAAUUUAUAAUAAAAAUAUUAAGUUAACAAAAGAAAUAAAUAAAAAUAUAAACAAAGAAAAUAUUGUUACUGAUGUAUUAUCACCACAAACAUCUAUACAACUUAAAUUAAAAAAUGAAUAUAUAAAAGAGAUAAAUAUAGAAAAAGAGGAAAACAAAAAUGACCAUAUAAAACAAUGUCCAGUAGUAUAUACAGAGCAAGAAUUAAAUACAUGUUAUAAUGAUAUAGUAAAUGAUAGAGAACAAUGUAUUGCUUUAUUAAGAGAAAAGAUUUGUAUAAAUAAUCAAAUAUCACAUAUGAUUAAAAACUAUUAUGAAAAAUUAAAAAAACAAUAUGAUCAAUUAUAUACAGAAAUGGAAAUGAAUGGAGAAUCACCUCUUAACUUAUACAAUUUAAAUAAAAAUAAAUAUUUUUAUUCCGAAUAUGAUGAUUAUUAUUAUAAUAAUAAUAAUAAUAACAUUGAAAACGAUUAUAUUAACAAUAACAAUAUUAAUAACAAUAUUAAUAACAAUAACAAUAUUAAUAAUAGCUAUAAUAACAGUAAUGUAAAAAAUAAAAAUGAAAACUUACGUAGAGCUAAGAGUACUGUUAGUUACGCAAAUACAAAUUACACAUACGAUAUAUACGACUAUGAUAAAUUUAAAGACGAAUAUGAUGAUGAUGAUGAUAGUUAUGUAGUUAAUAAAACACAUGGAAGAAAACAUUCCAUUAAAUAUGAUGAAGAAUAUAAUCCUUAUAGUGUAGACAGAAGUAAAAAAAAUAAAAAAAUAAAAAAAAGUAAAAGUUUAAGUCAUGUUAAUAAUAACACAAGUAAAUAUUUAAAAAUGAUAAAUGAAAAAACUAAUAUUAGUAACAAUACUAUAAUUAAUAAAGAUGCUAAUAUAGAUAAUAAUAAAUAUGUCAAUAAUGUUAAUAAUGUUAAUAAUAAAGAUAUUUAUAACACAACUAAUCAAAAUGAAAAUAUAAAAAAUGUCAACUACAUACAUAAAGUACGAAUAAAUAUACAAUCGGUCAAACACAAAUUUAACAAAAAUACUCCCAUCGAAUUAAAUAACGAAAAAAAUAUUAACAAUAUAAAACAAAAUAAAGAUGACCAUUCAUAUAAUAUGCACAUUAACGAUGGUCUAUUAAAUCUAUCUAAUGAAUGUGAUUUAUUGAACAAAACGGAUGAUCAAAAAAAANNNNNNNNNNNNNNNNNNNNNNNNNNNNNNNNNNNNNNNNNNNNNNNNNNNNNNNNNNNNNNNNNNNNNNNNNNNNNNNNNNNNNNNNNNNNNNNNNNNNAUAAAAAAAAAAAAAAAAAAAAAAAAAAAAAAAAAAAAAACGAAAAAAAGUGAAAUAAAAAGAAAGAGGAAAUGAUAUAAAAAGGGAAA